UGCCUCUGUAGCUGAGGGCCCCUGGCGCGUGGUUUCAUCAGAGGCAGACAGCUGCUGUGGCCAAGGCCAUUCCAGCCUCAGGAGGGCAAGAGGAGGCCUGUUGGAUGCAUCCUGAAAACACAGGCCAUCACUGUGGGUGAGAUCUACCAGGACAGAUGCCAUUCUGCAAAGUGGGUACUUUCCAUGAGAAUCCAUCCAUGUUUUUCUCUUAUUCCUUCUCUUGGCAGAUUUUCACUCUUUUCACAACCUUGUUUCAUAGACAUCAAACAAUAACACAGCACAGAAGGAAAACAAGGGUCUUCUUAUACAAAUACCAUGUAUUUAAUUCUGGCACUCAUGAUUUAUUUAUAUCAGAAAGUCAUCUUAAAUUUUUAGGAGCUCA
This 382-nucleotide long non-coding RNA is filed under the name Homo sapiens (human). RNAcentral's name for it is "non-protein coding lnc-F11-2:17". The record is from RNAcentral. Lineage: Eukaryota; Metazoa; Chordata; Mammalia; Primates; Hominidae.